UUGACAACCCAAUAACACCAGGGAAAAGAAAAGUUAAUUCUUCCCGCAGUACUUACAAAUGCAGUGGGGUCUAAAACCAACAGUUGAGAUGGCAAGUGCACAGAAACCUGAAAGCCUUCAAAUGCAGUGAUGGAGAGUCUAAUUUCUUAAUACUGCACUUUCGGUACCCAAGCUGGCUAUAAAAAGAAGCAUCAUUAUGAUUCCAAUGCCAUUUAUGAAGACACUGAAGCUCAGAUAAAUGUUAAUAUGACAUGCCUGUUUAUAUUGUAUUAUGUAUUUUUAAUUUAUGGAAUUACAUAUACAUUUUUACAAUUACUGGGAAUCUAGUCUGUACUACACAAAAUUAGGGAGGCGGGUAAGAGAUCAACUUGGAAACGGAUGCGCCAUUAGGGAAUCAAUUCCAACAUAACCCUGUCUAGCUGUAUUGCUCAUCCUACGUAAGGAAAGGAAUUAAGUCUUAUUUGUGUCCACAAGCAGAAGAUAGACCUUGUUAAAUGGCAACAUCAACACACAAUGCUUUUUAGUGGAGUUCUAUUCCUCAUGCUCUUGGAUUUGAGGUUUAGGAAGGUGAAUCAAGCUGGAUUGCCAGACUUUACCACAAGCAAUGCUUCUUACAGACUGUUUGGGCAGCAAACAGAUCACAAAGUGGAUAAGCAUCUGGCUGAAAACUGAGCACAAGCUACCACAAAUGGUAUGCCUAUGACAAACAUCAAGGGGUUCUCAAAAUACAUCUGUAAGACAUGACUAGAAUUAUUCUAGAACAGUGGCUAGAAUGUUAAGAGGAGAGAGUGGAGAAGCCAAUCAGCCAAGAACAAACAAUAUCAAACCCCAUUUUAAACAGAUCCUACUGCCAGGCUGUUGAGGAAAAAAGGCACCCUGAUGUCCUGCUUAACAUAGUGAGUUUACUCAAACAGCCCUGUUGUAAGUCAAAAUGCAUUUAUUCACUUAUUGUGGGCCUCAGUGCACUCAUUUAUCCAUGGUUCUACUUGAAAAGAUUUUCACAGCCUCUCACAGAAGUCUCAUUGUUUGGCCUCACUAAAGACACAUUACCACUCUGAAGUUUUAAUGAAUCAAACUGCAAGUCACUCAUAUUUAAAGACUACAUGAACUAAAUAAGUGUGGUUCUGCAGACCAUACUCAAUAAUAAGGGGAAAGAGAAAAAAAAUUGGUAAGUAACUCAUGCAACAGUCUUAUAAACAUAUGGUAAGGCAGAUGCAUUGUCUUCUUUCAAGGGCCAACAACUUAAUCUUCUGAGGCAAGCAAUGGAUGGUGCAUUGCCUAGGAUGAGACUACCUUGACAUGACUUCCAAGUUCAGGGUUGCUAAGUCAGGCACAAUAAUGAGCAGUGCAGACCACCACUAAAACAUGGUUUUCGUAUUAGAAGUAUUACCCCACAUGGCAACGGAACAAAAAACUGGAUGGACCUAUAAGGUUCAGCGCACCUCACGUAAGCCACCAAGGACCUCUGAAGUUGGGCAUCCAGAGAAGGGCCUCAGAGGUACACAAACACAGAAAGGACGCAGGCAGAACAGUUCCCAUAAAUGGAACUCUCACCAUGUUGGAUGAGAUCUGAGAUUCUCAUAGCACCAAUUUAAUCCAUCAUGUACCAAAUUCUACAGUUAGUCACUAAACCCCAAAUCUCUUACUCUGCCAGCUAACACUGUCACCAGGAAGUGAUUUCCAUGAAAAAAUCGUGGGCUUACAAAUAGUGAGUGACCCAAAAGAAAUACAUCAUCUUGGUCACAGCCACAUUAGUCCCAGACACUCAGGUUUUUUUAGUAUGGGAUUUAAAAGUACCAACCCCUGCAUGAGCUCAGAGAGAAGGCUGUUGAGACACGGAUAUACCUUUGACUAGUUCAUGAAUAGCUGAACAGCUGCCAGACAAACCUGAAGAGUUAUUACAUUACUCAGGACAGGCAAAGAAGGGAGUCAGAUACCUCUUAUGUUAAGUAAACUAGUCUACAAGGGCCUUCUUUCACACUUGAAAUCUUGUCAGUUUACAAAUAGGCAGUCCUGGCUUCUUGAAAGUCAUUUAAUUGGACACCACAUGCCUAUAAAGCUUCCUCUAGACAGGACACAAAAAUUCAGGGGGAACAGCUUAAAAGUUUGAGCAGAGUGAGGUGGCCUGGUUCUGAGUGAUCACUCCUGGCCAGACUCAGACUGAUGGUAUCUGUAGUACAGUUAAGAACUGCACCCAUCUGAACCAGUACAAGAUGAACCAUUGGUCUCUCCUUAGCAUGGCCAAGAUUUUUGCUGAAAGAUUCCAGCACAAAGUUAAACACUUCCCUUCCUCGCAAACUGAGAUGUCUCUGGCUCAAGCAGUUUUUUUUCCCUACCAUUACCAGAGUCUGUAGUUUAGGUGAAAAAGA
This is a long non-coding RNA of Chelonia mydas (Green sea turtle), 2369 nucleotides long. RefSeq lists it as uncharacterized. Lineage: Eukaryota; Metazoa; Chordata; Testudines; Cheloniidae. The transcript has 2 exons. The record is from RefSeq and is a predicted model, not a curated record.